UAAGAGAAAGAACAUGCGCAUGCGC
RNAcentral lists this non-coding RNA (25 nucleotides) under Mus musculus (house mouse). Lineage: Eukaryota; Metazoa; Chordata; Mammalia; Rodentia; Muridae. The record is from RNAcentral.